Molecule: ribosomal RNA, 462 nt
Filed under: uncultured bacterium
Lineage: Bacteria
Description: bacterial SSU rRNA
Rfam family: Bacterial small subunit ribosomal RNA
Source: RNAcentral
AUUAAACGCUGGCGGCAUGCCUUACACAUGCAAGUCGAACGGCAGCACGGGGCAACCUGGUGGCGAGUGGCGAACGGGUGAGUAAAGCAUCGGAACGUGCCCUGGAGUGGGGGAUAACGUAGCGAAAGUUACGCUAAUACCGCAUAUUCUGUGAGCAGGAAAGCAGGGGAUCGCAAGACCUUGCGCUCUGGGAGCGGCCGAUGUCGGAUUAGCUAGUUGGUGGGGUAAAGGCCUACCAAGGCGACGAUCCGUAGCGGGUCUGAGAGGAUGAUCCGCCACACUGGGACUGAGACACGGCCCAGACUCCUACGGGAGGCAGCAGUGGGGAAUUUUGGACAAUGGGCGGAAGCCUGAUCCAGCAACGCCGCGUGAGGGACGACGGCCUUCGGGUUGUAAACCUCUUUUAGUAGGGAAGAAGCGAAAGUGACGGUACCUGCAGAAAAAGCACCGGCUAACUACGUG